ACGGAGGAUCCAAGCGUUAUCCGGAUUUACUGGGUUUAAAGGGUGCGUAGGCGGAUUGAUAAGUCAGUGGUGAAAGGCUACAGCUCAACUGUAGUACUGCCAUUGAAACUGUUAGACUUGAGUAACAAUGAGGUAGGCGGAAUGUGUAGUGUAGCGGUGAAAUGCUUAGAUAUGACACAGAACACCGAAUGCGUAGGCAGCUUACUAGAAGUUUACUGACGCUGAUGCACGAAAGCGUGGGGAUCAAACAG
RNAcentral lists this ribosomal RNA (251 nucleotides) under uncultured prokaryote. Its description in RNAcentral is "partial 16S rRNA". It matches the Rfam family "Bacterial small subunit ribosomal RNA", at positions 525 to 775 of the family's 1533-position model. The record is from RNAcentral.